This 614-nucleotide ribosomal RNA is filed under the name Diplodia mutila. RNAcentral's name for it is "eukaryotic LSU rRNA". It matches the Rfam family "Eukaryotic large subunit ribosomal RNA", at positions 38 to 667 of the family's 3401-position model. Lineage: Eukaryota; Fungi; Ascomycota; Dothideomycetes; Botryosphaeriales; Botryosphaeriaceae. The record is from RNAcentral.
GCAUAUCAAUAAGCGGAGGAAAAGAAACCAACAGGGAUUGCCUUAGUAACGGCGAGUGAAGCGGCAACAGCUCAAAUUUGAAAGCUGGCCCUUUUAGGGUCCGCGUUGUAAUUUGUAGAGGAUGAUUCGGCGAGGGCUCCCGCCUAAGUCCCCUGGAACGGGGCGUCAUAGAGGGUGAGAAUCCCGUAUGUGGUGGGCUGCCUUAGCCAUGUGAAUCUCCUUCGACGAGUCGAGUUGUUUGGGAAUGCAGCUCUAAAUGGGAGGUAAAUUUCUUCUAAAGCUAAAUACCGGCCAGAGACCGAUAGCGCACAAGUAGAGUGAUCGAAAGAUGAAAAGCACUUUGGAAAGAGAGUUAAAAAGUACGUGAAAUUGUUGAAAGGGAAGCGCUUGCAACCAGACUUGUCCGCAGUUGCUCAGCCGGUCUCCUGACCGGCGUACUCUUCUGCGGCCAGGCCAGCAUCAGUUCGGGCGGUCGGAUAAAGACCUCGGGAAUGUAGCUCCUCUCGGGGAGUGUUAUAGCCCGGGGUGGAAUGCGGCCAGCCUGGACUGAGGAUCUCGCUUCGGCAAGGAUGCUGGCGUAAUGGUUGUAAGCGGCCCGUCUUGAAACACGGACC